AAAGUCGUAACAAGGUCUCCGUAGGUGAACCUGCGGAGGGAUCAUUAACAAAUGCUUUAAGCAUGAUAACUGUGAACUGUUUGAGUCUUCGGACUCUACCUUAUACAUACCAAACUGAUUUAUGAUAUGCAAAAACAUAAAACUUUUAGCAACGGAUCUCUAGGCUCUC
This 169-nucleotide unclassified non-coding RNA is filed under the name Ascomycota sp. RNAcentral describes it as "partial contains small subunit ribosomal RNA, internal transcribed spacer 1, and 5.8S ribosomal RNA". The stretch from base 1 to 47 matches the Rfam family "Eukaryotic small subunit ribosomal RNA", at positions 1785 to 1831 of the family's 1831-position model. The record is from RNAcentral. Lineage: Eukaryota; Fungi; Ascomycota.